CCGAGAUCGUGCCACUGCACUCCAGCCUGGGCGACAGAGCAAGACUUCAUCUCAAAAAAAAAAAAAAAAAAUUGUAACAUCACCUGAUACCCAGUCCACAUAAAAUUUCUGUUCCUGCCUCAAAAAUGUCCAGAACGAUGUAUGAAUUUUAAAACAGAGUUAGAAGGGUUCAUGGCUUCUGCUCACCCAGUUCUCUGAACUGAGUGGGGUCCCCAGGCUCUAGCCCCCGGGGGAGGUGAGGUGAGGGGCAGGCCUCCUGGGGGCUGACGUGGCCGCCCUUGUCUGCCCACAGUGGUGACCAUCAUCAAGGGGAAGGUGGAGGAGGUGGAGCUCCCGGUGGAGAAGGUGGACAUCAUCAUCAGCGAGUGGAUGGGCUACUGCCUCUUCUACGAGUCGAUGCUCAACACCGUGCUCUAUGCCCGGGACAAGUGGCUGGCGCCCGAUGGCCUCAUCUUCCCAGACCGGGCCACACUGUAUGU
RNAcentral lists this small RNA (479 nucleotides) under Pongo abelii (Sumatran orangutan). Its description in RNAcentral is "retained intron". The record is from RNAcentral. Lineage: Eukaryota; Metazoa; Chordata; Mammalia; Primates; Hominidae.